CCCAGAAUCCUCUGCCUUCACCUCCCUCCACCAGAACUGACACAUAGCCGAGCCCUAAGAAUGGACAUUCUGACAGUUACAGCCAUUGAGUAGCCAAGGUGGCCUGUGCUGAAUGCUGAGGGAAUGGAGACCCAAUCCCCGAAGAAGGAAGGGAAGACAGCAAUGACAGAGUACGAUUGACAGGAAGACAAUCUCCUUGCGGAAAAUCUCAAAUGUGUCAUAUCUUGAUGGAGAUGCUUUAUUUCGUGGAUGCUCAAGCUCAGAGGUUGCCACCAGGAGUCCUGCCAAGGCUUUGAAAUAAACAAGGAAUAGGACUGGAUGCA
Molecule: long non-coding RNA, 323 nt
Filed under: Mus spicilegus (steppe mouse)
Lineage: Eukaryota; Metazoa; Chordata; Mammalia; Rodentia; Muridae
Description: lncRNA (ENSMSIG00000007851.1)
Source: RNAcentral